UACGUAGGGUGCAAGCGUUGUCCGGAAUUAUUGGGCGUAAAGAGCUCGUAGGCGGUUUGUCGCGUCUGCCGUGAAAGUCCGGGGCUCAACUCCGGAUCUGCGGUGGGUACGGGCAGACUAGAGUGAUGUAGGGGAGACUGGAAUUCCUGGUGUAGCGGUGAAAUGCGCAGAUAUCAGGAGGAACACCGAUGGCGAAGGCAGCUCGCUGGGACGGUACUGACGCUGAGACGCGAAAGCGUGGGGAGCGAACAGG
This 253-nucleotide ribosomal RNA is filed under the name uncultured bacterium. RNAcentral's name for it is "partial 16S ribosomal RNA". It matches the Rfam family "Bacterial small subunit ribosomal RNA", at positions 524 to 776 of the family's 1533-position model. The record is from RNAcentral.